AUCCAAUUGACGAGUCCUAAAUAGGACGAAAUGCGCAUCCUGGAU
RNAcentral lists this non-coding RNA (45 nucleotides) under Trichobilharzia regenti. The record is from RNAcentral. Lineage: Eukaryota; Metazoa; Platyhelminthes; Trematoda; Strigeidida; Schistosomatidae.